CUUGUACACACCGCCCGUCACACCAUGGGAGCGGGUUCUGCCAGAAGUAGUUAGCCUAACCGCAAAGAGGGCGAUUACCACGGCAGGGUUCGUGACUGGGGUG
This 103-nucleotide ribosomal RNA is filed under the name uncultured bacterium. RNAcentral describes it as "partial 16S ribosomal RNA". It matches the Rfam family "Bacterial small subunit ribosomal RNA", at positions 1380 to 1482 of the family's 1533-position model. The record is from RNAcentral.